AAAAAGAGAAAAAAAAAAUGAAGAAAAUUUUCAUGUUUUUAUUCGUGCUAUGGUCUGUUUUUCUUGCUUUUGUUGUAAGUGACGUAAGUGCUGGACAAUCUUUGCUGUGUUACAAUGAUGAUGACUGCCCUCCCAUAAUUUCACUUUUCUAUUCGCGUUGUGUUAAUGAUCAAUGUAUCUAUAGUUAAGUUGAGAAUUAUUACUACGUUAAUAACUUAUGUCAAAGCUUAUAAAUUUAUUAGAAAUCUUAAUAUUAUCACUCUUAUAUUAUUAUAAGUUUGAGUGAACUAUAUUUUGUUUUUCAUAAUGGGAAUGAUUUGAGUAUUAGCUUUA
Molecule: non-coding RNA, 333 nt
Organism: Cicer arietinum (chickpea)
Lineage: Eukaryota; Viridiplantae; Streptophyta; Magnoliopsida; Fabales; Fabaceae
Source: RefSeq, a predicted model, not a curated record